Molecule: unclassified non-coding RNA, 351 nt
Filed under: soil metagenome
Description: partial contains 5.8S ribosomal RNA, internal transcribed spacer 2, and large subunit ribosomal RNA
Rfam family: 5.8S ribosomal RNA (bases 1-119)
Source: RNAcentral
GAUGAAGAACGUAGCGAAAUGCGAUAAGUAAUGUGAAUUGCAGAAUUCAGUGAAUCAUCGAAUCUUUGAACGCACAUUGCGCCCGCCAGUAUUCUGGCGGCAUGCCUGUUCGAGCGUCAUUACAACCCUCAGGCCCCCGGGCCUGGCGUUGGGGAUCGGCGGAGCCCCCCGUGGGCACACGCCGUCCCCCAAAUGCAGUGGCGGUCCCGCCGCAGCUUCCAUCGCGUAGUAGCUAACACCUCGCGACUGGAGAGCGGCGCGGCCACGCCGUAAAACACCCAACUCUUCUGAAGUUGACCUCGAAUCAGGUAGGAAUACCCGCUGAACUUAAGCAUAUCAAUAAGCGGAGGA